This 73-nucleotide transfer RNA is filed under the name Cariama cristata (Red-legged seriema). It matches the Rfam family "tRNA". Rfam says of the family: Transfer RNA (tRNA) molecules are approximately 80 nucleotides in length. Their secondary structure includes four short double-helical elements and three loops (D, anti-codon, and T loops). Further hydrogen bonds mediate the characteristic L-shaped molecular structure. tRNAs have two regions of fundamental functional importance: the anti-codon, which is responsible for specific mRNA codon recognition, and the 3' end, to which the tRNAs corresponding amino acid is attached (by aminoacyl-tRNA synthetases). tRNAs cope with the degeneracy of the genetic code in two manners: having more than one tRNA (with a specific anti-codon) for a particular amino acid; and 'wobble' base-pairing, i.e. permitting non-standard base-pairing at the 3rd anti-codon position. The record is from Rfam by way of RNAcentral. Lineage: Eukaryota; Metazoa; Chordata; Aves; Cariamiformes; Cariamidae.
GCCCAGCUAGCUCAGUUGGUCGAGCAUGAGACUCUUAAUCUCAGGGUUGUGGGUUUGAGCCCCAUGUUGGGCA